CCUACGGGUGGCUGCAGUCGAGAAUCAUUCACAAUGGGGGAAACCCUGAUGGUGCGACGCCGCGUGGGGGAAUGAAGGUCUUCGGUUUGUAAACCCUUGUCAUGUGGGCGCAACUUAAAAAGAUAGUACCACAAGAGGAAGCGACGGCUAACUCGGUGCCAGCAGCCGCGGUAAGACGGAGGUCUCAAGCGUUGGACGGAAUUACGGGGCGUAAGGCGUGCGUAGGCUGUUUCGUAAGUCGGAGGUGAAAGGCGCGGGCUCAACCCGCGGACGGCACAUGAUACUGCGAGACUAGAGUAAUGGAGGGGGAAACGGAAUUCUCGGUGUAGCAGUGAAAUGCGUAGAUAUCGGGAGGAACACUAGUGGCGAAGGCGGGUUCCUGGACAUUAACUGACGCUGAGGCACGAAGGCCAGGGGAGCGAAAGGGAUUAGAUACCCUUGUAGUC
This 446-nucleotide ribosomal RNA is filed under the name uncultured bacterium. Its description in RNAcentral is "partial 16S ribosomal RNA". It matches the Rfam family "Bacterial small subunit ribosomal RNA", at positions 338 to 795 of the family's 1533-position model. The record is from RNAcentral.